AGUGAACGCUGGCGGUAGGCCUAACACAUGCAAGUCGAACGGCAGCACAGUAAGAGCUUGCUCUUACGGGUGGCGAGUGGAGGACGGGUGAGGAAUACAUCGGAAUCUACUUUUUCGUGGGGGAUAACGUAGGGAAACUUACGCUAAUACCGCAUACGACCUACGGGUGAAAGCAGGGGAUCUUCGGACCUUGCGCGAUUGAAUGAGCCGGUGUCGGAUUAGCUAGUUGGCGGGGUAAAGGCCCACCAAGGCGACGAUCCGUAGCUGGUCUGAGAGGAUGAUCAGCCACACUGGAACUGAGACACGGUCCAGACUCCUACGGGAGGCAGCAGUGGGGAAUAUUGGACAAUGGGCGCAAGCCUGAUCCAGCCAUACCGCGUGGGUGAAGAAGGCCUUCGGGUUGUAAAGCCCUUUUGUUGGGAAAGAAAAACAGCAGGUUAAUACCCCGCUGUUCUGACGGUACCCAAAGAAUAAGCACCGGCUAACUUCGUG
Molecule: ribosomal RNA, 492 nt
Filed under: uncultured bacterium
Lineage: Bacteria
Description: partial 16S ribosomal RNA
Rfam family: Bacterial small subunit ribosomal RNA
Source: RNAcentral